AGAUACCUUGUAUAAAUGGAAUCAUCCAACAUUUGGUCUUCUGUAACUGGCUUAUUUCACUCAGCAUAAUGUCUUCCAGAUUCAUCCAUGUUGACCCAAAAGGAUCUGCCUUCACUAGGGAUGACCAACCAGAGAAUCCAGAAAAAAAAAUAAUAAGAGAAAGUAUCAUCCCACAAGCCAAU
RNAcentral lists this long non-coding RNA (182 nucleotides) under Mustela putorius furo (domestic ferret). RNAcentral's name for it is "lncRNA (ENSMPUG00000031543.1)". Lineage: Eukaryota; Metazoa; Chordata; Mammalia; Carnivora; Mustelidae. The record is from RNAcentral.